Prunus avium (sweet cherry) is the source of this 1733-nucleotide non-coding RNA. Lineage: Eukaryota; Viridiplantae; Streptophyta; Magnoliopsida; Rosales; Rosaceae. The record is from RefSeq and is a predicted model, not a curated record.
GUUCGAACUGAGGCAUUUAGGUUUGAAUAACCUUUGGGUGUAAGUUGCUAUUACAAAAGCCAAAAGGAAGCGAGCAUAUAUCAUGGAGCCCUACAAGAACAAGUUAUUGGCAACUUCAACGUCUCAAGCUGAAGGAGUUUGUGCUGAGAGUUUAAUAGACAGAUUUAGUAAUCUUCCAGAAGGAGUUGCUCACCACAUUCUCUCCUUCCUCGCUCAAAUAGACCUCGCUCGAGUGAGCUGUGUGUCCAAAAGUUGCAGAAAGUUUUAUCUCUCAUUUCCCUCGUUGAACUUUGAUGCAAUGCCCUGCGCAAACGACAUGUGGGAGAGGUUAAAGUUGUUGAAUUAUUUGGACAGGUUCAUGAUCCAACGAGGGGACAAUAAGAUCCAACACUUGUAUUUUUUGGAUCUUUUUAGGUCCAGCUUCAAGCUUCUCUAACGAGUAUUUUCGAGUCAUCUCUUGGAUCCAUGUUGCUGCAAGGUGCAAUGUCGAAGUGCUUGAUCUGGAACUCUACAUGAUACCUGAUACGACGAUGCUAGAGUUGCCAUCUUGCAUCUUUCUUUGUGGAUCAUUGAGGUCUCUAUCAGUGCACUGCAAUAAAAUUCUUACAGCGCCCUCCUUGGUUAGUUCCACUAAUCUCCAGUACUUAAAGUUGACAAAUGUUACAAUAGAUGAGGGGUUUUGCAAAUGGAUCUCGUGUUCUUGCAAAUGCAUUAAGGAAUUGCAUCUUGAACAUGUUGAAGUAGAAAAUAUCACCAUGGAAAGCUCGUCGUUGGAAUCUUUUAGUUUUGUGUUUCCCUCUUAUUGUGGCCUCUGUCAUCUUAAUAUCUCUUGUGAGAAACUUGAAGACAUGCAUAUAGAGUGGAAAUUUGCUUCAACUAGCAGCAGAUCCUUCAAAGUUUUUGCUCCAAAUCUUAAAUAUUUGAAAUGGAUUGGGAAUUUGUUGAAUAACCAAAAUCUGGGGAAACUAAUGUGUUUAGAGAAGGCUGAGAUUUUUCUGAAGCAUGGGGUAGAUAACAAUGACUUCAGCAAUGUACUUGAGGUUCUUUGCAGUGUAUGCAGGGCUAAAGUCCUUAUUCUAAGUGGAGAGAUGACCAAGGCUCUGUUGAGGGAGGGUCCUGUGUCUACACUGUUUGAUGAUAUUUCUUACCUGGGUAUGCAUAUUGAGAGCUUGGAUGAUGACAUAGUCCCGGCAAUGGUCUCUCUUCUGAGAGGAAUGCCCAAUUUGAAAACUUUGUACAUAAAGUCUGACCCUUCCUUAUUCAUCCAUAAACCUGAAGCGUGUGGAUUUAGUAAGGAAUUCUGGAAAUCUCAAAACUUGGCUUUUAUUGAUCAGCUUAAGGAGGCAACAAUAGAGCUUUCUAAUGGGAACAAUGAACUGGAGCUAGCAAGGUAUAUGCUUGAGGAUGCUAAGAACUUGAAGGAAAUGGUUUUAGUUUAUUCACCCCAGCAAUCAACUCAUAUUCGAGUGGUAAAUGAAAGUAAGAUGAAUUCUGUUGCCACUGCCAGAGUUGUCUUUCAGGAAAAACAAAGGAAAUGAAAAGGGGGGAAAAAUGAAGGUUGAAGAUUUUUUUGUGUUAUAACUUCAAAACCUUAUUCUGGAUGUCAAUGGAUGCAACCGCUGUGUUUAUCUGUUAUGAUAGAACCCUAAUAUUGUAAUAAUGUAGUUUAUAAUGCUGUUAGCAAGACUUGUCAAUGGCCUAGAGAUGUUUUUGUGUUUUGUGUAUUAUAGCAA